AACCGUGCAAAGGUAGCGUAAUCACUUGCCCCCUAAAUAGGGGCCCGUAUGAACGGCUAAAUGAGGACCAAACUGUCUCUUGUAACCAAUCAAUGAAACUGAUCUUUCAGUACAAAAGCUGAGAUAAACACAUAAGACGAGAAGACCCUGCGGAGCUUUAAGAUACAGUACUACAACCAGCACCCUACUUCCAACUAGGACACACACGCCAAACAAUAGUACUAAACUUUAAGUUGGGGCAACUGCGGAGAAAAAUAAAACCUCCACGUGACCAGGCUAACUGCCACCACAAAACACACCCGUUAACUGGUAAUAAAACUUGACCCAGCACUGCUGACUACCGAACCAAGUUACCCCAGGGAUAACAGCGCUAUCCCCCUCAAGAGUCCAUAUCGCCAGGGGGGCUUACGACCUCGAUGUUGGAUCAGGACACCCAGAUGGUGUAGCCGCUAUCAAGGUUCGUUUGUUCAACUAUUAAUGUCCUACGUGAU
This 491-nucleotide ribosomal RNA is filed under the name Afroedura transvaalica (Transvall rock gecko). RNAcentral describes it as "partial 16S ribosomal RNA". It matches the Rfam family "Bacterial large subunit ribosomal RNA", at positions 1944 to 2604 of the family's 2925-position model. Lineage: Eukaryota; Metazoa; Chordata; Lepidosauria; Squamata; Gekkonidae. The record is from RNAcentral.